AGGUUGGAUGGGAACCACCCAGGCGAGCCCCAUCAUGCGACGUGUCAUUACCACAACAAUGCUGAGGAUGCUGGAGUUGAGAUAGUUCCCAGCUGCAAUGCCGAGCUGCCCAAGCACAAAGCUUAGGCUCUUCAUGGUGUCUGGGGACUGGUCAUAUAUAGAACAAUUCAAUCAUGCCAAUGCAGUCGAACAACUUGGCGGCGCUGAGGUUGAGGCAGGAUGGAGCAUUCCACAUGAUG
This 239-nucleotide small RNA is filed under the name Oryza sativa Japonica Group (Japanese rice). RNAcentral's name for it is "sRNA Os10g0110075". The record is from RNAcentral. Lineage: Eukaryota; Viridiplantae; Streptophyta; Magnoliopsida; Poales; Poaceae.